UACGAAGGUUGCUAGCGUUGUUCGGAAUCACUGGGCUUAAAGCGCAUGUAGGCGGCUCAUCAAGUGCCUUGUGAAAUCCCACGGCUCAACCGUGGAAUUGCUUGGUAUACUGUUCGAGCUUGAGGCAGGUAGGGGCACGUGGAACUCUUGGUGGAGCGGUGGAAUGCGUAGAUAUCAAGAGGAACGCCGGUGGCGAAAGCGGCGUGCUGGGCCUGUCCUGACGCUGAGAUGCGAAAGCCAGGGGAGCAAACGGG
RNAcentral lists this ribosomal RNA (254 nucleotides) under uncultured bacterium. Its description in RNAcentral is "partial 16S ribosomal RNA". It matches the Rfam family "Bacterial small subunit ribosomal RNA", at positions 524 to 776 of the family's 1533-position model. The record is from RNAcentral.